This 1107-nucleotide long non-coding RNA is filed under the name Malus domestica (apple). RNAcentral's name for it is "long non-coding RNA (MDOM_LNC000239)". The record is from RNAcentral. Lineage: Eukaryota; Viridiplantae; Streptophyta; Magnoliopsida; Rosales; Rosaceae.
AGAAAAGAAAAAAAAAGAAAAAAAAUUCGUGGAAAAAAAAAUGAAGAAAAAGUAUGAAAAGUAUGAAAAAAAGAGUUGAAAAGUUGAGAAAAAGAGUUUCAAAGUAUUGUUUGUGAAGUAAGGGUCCAAAACAAUGAAUUCGGCCCUAAGGAGUUGUUUAAAUCUUCCCCUUGUGUUUUAAAGUUAAUUUCUGCACUCUAAGUGAAUUCUAAGUCUCAAUUUCAUUGCUUUGCUUACUAUUGCUUGAAGAACGUUUGUUUUCCUUAUCCUUUCCUUGUUAACCAACACCCCAAGCCCCAUUACAACCCUUAACUUCUAUCUUGAAUGUUAUGUGUUUCAAUUUGUGGAGUUUGAAUUUGGUAUGAGCAUAUGGUGUCACUGGUUCUCGCAUCUAAGUAGUAGCAUUCCAUUCAUGAGAUCAUAUCUAAACAUGCUUCUUAACUCUAGAAAUUGCGUUCUUUGUGAUACAUAUAUGUGAGCAUUCGUUUCAUUUCUACAUCAAUCUUCUCACAUAUGACUAGUGUAGGGUGUGGAGUUAGAAAAUCUGAGUGAAAAUAGAGUGUAUAUCUUGUAAGGAAUUGAGGGAAUUCUCUAAGGCAUGUUACUACAUUCAAAGCAUUGUUUUGAUUGAUUACUUGUGAAUUAGUAAGUGGUGGCUUUAAUUAAGUAUGUGCUUGUGUAAAGAUGACUCAAAUGUGUGGGGAUAACAAUCUUUAACAUGUCAUGUGCAUUGGAAAUCCCUGAGGCAAACGUUGGAAGGUUUAGGUUUUGUUUUGGUUAGUUUGUUUCGUUUUGUUUUCUUUCUUUGUUUGUUUUGCUCGAGGACUAGCAAAAGCUAAGUGUGGGGGAAUUUGAUAGGAGCAUAUUUAUGCGCCUUAGUUAGCUAGUUCUUAUGCACUUUUGUAUGUUUUCUUUGUUAAAAUAGUCUUUUAAGCUACUUUCUUGUGUUUUCAGGUUUAGCGGACGUAUUACAUGAAAUGAUGCAAUUGGGAGCUUUUGGAGCAAAAAGUGAGCUUGAAUUGAAAAAGGACAUGCUUGGAACGCAAGGUUUGGGAUGGAAUUGAAGAAUUGAAGAUUUGAGGUUUCCUACUUGAAGUAGGAAAGCUA